GGUCUGUCUCUGGUCCUGGAGAUGUGGUGUGGUGAGGUCUGUCUCUGGUCCUGGAGAUGGGGUGUGGUGAGGUCUGUCUCUGGUCCUGGAGAUGGGGUGUGGUGAGGUCUGUCUCUGGUCCUGGAGAUGGGGUGUGGUGAGGUCUGUCUCUGGUCCUGGAGAUGGGGUGUGGUGAGGUCUGUCUCUGGUCCUGGAGAUGUGGUGUGGUGAGGUCUGUCUCUGGUCCUGGAGAUGUGGUGUGGUGAGGUCUGUCUCUGGUCCUGGAGAUGUGGUGAGGUCUGUCUCUGGUCCUGGAGAUGUGGUGAGGUCUGUCUCUGGUCCUGGAGAUGUGGUGAGGUCUGUCUCUGGUCCUGGAGAUGUGGUGUGGUGAGGUCUGUCUCUGGUCCUGGAGAUGGGGUGUGGUGAGGUCUGUCUCUGGUCCUGGAGAUGGGGUGUGGUGAGGUCUGUCUCUGGUUCUGGAGAUGUGGUGAGGUCUGUCUCUGGUCCUGGAGAUGGGGUGUGGUGAGGUCUGUCUCUGGUCCUGGAGAUGGGGUGUGGUGAGGUCUGUCUCUGGUCCUGGAGAUGUGGUGUGGUGAGGUCUGUCUCUGGUCCUGGAGAUGUGGUGUGGUGAGGUCUGUCUCUGGUUCUGGAGAUGUGGUGUGGUGAGGUCUGUCUCUGGUCCUGGAGAUGUGGUGUGGUGAGGUCUGUCUCUGGUUCUGGAGAUGUGGUGUGGUGAGGUCUGUCUCUGGUCCUGGAGAUGUGGUGAGGUCUGUCUCUGGUCCUGGAGAUGUGGUGAGGUCUGUCUCUGGUUCUGGAGAUGUGGUGUGGUGAGGUCUGUCUCUGGUCCUGGAGAUGUGGUGAGGUCUGUCUCUGGUCCUGGAGAUGUGGUGAGGUCUGUCUCUGGUUCUGGAGAUGUGGUGUGGUGAGGUCUGUCUCUGGUUCUGGAGAUGUGGUGUGGUGAGGUCUGUCUCUGGUCCUGGAGAUGUGGUGUGGUGAGGUCUGUCUCUGGUCCUGGAGAUGUGGUGUGGUGAGGUCUGUCUCUGGUUCUGGAGAUGUGGUGUGGUGAGGUCUGUCUCUGGUUCUGGAGAUGUGGUGUGGUGAGGUCUGUCUCUGGUCCUGGAGAUGGGGUGUGGUGAGGUCUGGUCCUGGAGAUGGGGUGUGGUGAGGUCUGGUCCUGGAGAUGGGGUGAGGUGAGGUCUGUCUCUGGUUCUGGAGAUGUGGUGAGGUGAGGUCUGUCUCUGGUUCUGGAGAUGUGGUGAGGUGAGGUCUGUCUCUGGUUCUGGAGAUGUGGUGAGGUGAGGUCUGUCUCUGGUUCUGGAGAUGUGGUGAGGUGAGGUCUGUCUCUGGUUCUGGAGAUGGGGUGAGGUGAGGUCUGUCUCUGGUUCUGGAGAUGUGGUGAGGUGAGGUCUGUCUCUGGUUCUGGAGAUGUGGUGAGGUGAGGUCUGUCUCUGGUUCUGGAGAUGUGGUGAGGUGAGGUCUGUCUCUGGUUCUGGAGAUGUGGUGAGGUGAGGUCUGUCUCUGGUUCUGGAGAUGUGG
Oncorhynchus keta (chum salmon) is the source of this 1515-nucleotide long non-coding RNA. RefSeq lists it as uncharacterized. The transcript is spliced from 14 exons. NCBI's taxonomy places the organism in Eukaryota, Metazoa, Chordata, Actinopteri, Salmoniformes, Salmonidae. The record is from RefSeq and is a predicted model, not a curated record.